RNAcentral lists this ribosomal RNA (433 nucleotides) under uncultured bacterium. Its description in RNAcentral is "bacterial SSU rRNA". It matches the Rfam family "Bacterial small subunit ribosomal RNA", at positions 29 to 507 of the family's 1533-position model. The record is from RNAcentral.
AACGAACGCUGGCGGCAGGCCUAACACAUGCAAGUCGAACGCUUCAGCAAUGAAGAGUGGCAGACGGGUGAGUAACGCGUGGGAACCUUCCCAGUGGUACGGAAUAGCCCAGGGAAACUUGGGGUAAUACCGUAUAAGCCCUUAGGGGGAGAGAUUUAUCGCCAUUGGAUGGGCCCGCGUCGGAUUAGCUUGUUGGUGAGGUAAAAGCUCACCAAGGCGACGAUCCGUAGCUGGUCUGAGAGGAUGAUCAGCCACACUGGGACUGAGACACGGCCCAGACUCCUACGGGAGGCAGCAGUGGGGAAUAUUGGACAAUGGGCGCAAGCCUGAUCCAGCCAUGCCGCGUGAGUGACGAAGGCCUUAGGGUUGUAAAGCUCUUUCAGCUGGGAAGAUAAUGACGGUACCAGCAGAAGAAGCCCCGGCUAACUCCGUG